This 305-nucleotide ribosomal RNA is filed under the name uncultured bacterium. RNAcentral describes it as "partial 16S ribosomal RNA". It matches the Rfam family "Bacterial small subunit ribosomal RNA", at positions 335 to 658 of the family's 1533-position model. The record is from RNAcentral.
UACCUACGGGGGGCAGCAGUGGGGGAUAUUGCACAAUGGGGGGAACCCUGAUGCAGCGACGCCGCGUGGGUGAAGAAGCGCCUCGGCGCGUAAAGCCCUGUCAGCAGGGAAGAAAAUGACGGUACCUGAAGAAGAAGCCCCGGCUAACUACGUGCCAGCAGCCGCGGUAAUACGUAGGGGGCAAGCGUUAUCCGGAUUUACUGGGUGUAAAGGGGGCGCAGACGGCGAUGCAAGCCAGGAGUGAAAGGCGGGGGCUCAACCCCCGGACUGCUCUGGAAGCUGUACGGCUGGAGUGCAGGAGAGGU